ACCAUAGACAGAUGUAGAACUGCAAGACAAGUCCGCAUUUCCCUAUAUGGUUAUCAAUUUAGAAGCGAUGCCAAUAAGUGCUAUUGUAUUGGUGUUAUAUCGAAAUAGCAUGAGGUAUGGUGGAUGAGGUUAACCGUAGAACCUUUGGUUGAAAAACCCUAAAACUAAUCUAAGAAUACGACUUCUGAAUUUUCACUAUUUUUAGUUACGGUAGC
The submitters of this non-coding RNA (215 nucleotides) gave its source as unclassified sequences. The record is from Rfam.